Paramuricea clavata is the source of this 89-nucleotide non-coding RNA. NCBI's taxonomy places the organism in Eukaryota, Metazoa, Cnidaria, Anthozoa, Malacalcyonacea, Plexauridae. The record is from the annotation of a GenBank genome assembly.
AUAUUUCGGAACUGAGUCUAGUUCCUUCGAUAUCAGUGUAAUCUUAGAAUACACUGAUAUCGAAGGAACUAGACUCAGUUCCGAAAUAU